Phyllostomus discolor (pale spear-nosed bat) is the source of this 107-nucleotide small nuclear RNA. The record is from RefSeq and is a predicted model, not a curated record. NCBI's taxonomy places the organism in Eukaryota, Metazoa, Chordata, Mammalia, Chiroptera, Phyllostomidae.
GUGCAUGCUCUGGCAGCACAUAUACUAAAAUGGGAAUAAUACAGAGAAGAUUAGCAUGGCCUUUGUGCAAGGGUGGCAUGCAAAUUCAUGAAGAGUUCCAUAUUUUU